UAGCUCAGUGGUAGAGUAUUUGCCUAGCAUGCUUAAGAUUCUAGGUUCAAUCCCUAG
This 57-nucleotide transfer RNA is filed under the name Cavia porcellus (domestic guinea pig). It matches the Rfam family "tRNA", at positions 8 to 63 of the family's 71-position model. Rfam says of the family: Transfer RNA (tRNA) molecules are approximately 80 nucleotides in length. Their secondary structure includes four short double-helical elements and three loops (D, anti-codon, and T loops). Lineage: Eukaryota; Metazoa; Chordata; Mammalia; Rodentia; Caviidae. The record is from Rfam by way of RNAcentral.